Molecule: ribosomal RNA, 251 nt
Filed under: uncultured bacterium
Lineage: Bacteria
Description: partial 16S ribosomal RNA
Rfam family: Bacterial small subunit ribosomal RNA
Source: RNAcentral
UACGGGGGGGGCAAGCGUUGUUCGGAAUUACUGGGCGUAAAGGGUUCGUAGGUGGCUCGCUAAGUCAGACGUGAAAUCCCUCAGCUUAACUGGGGAACUGCGUCUGAGACUGAUGAGCUCGAGUGCAGGAGAGGAACGCGGAAUUCCAGGUGUAGCGGUGAAAUGCGUAGAUAUCUGGAGGAACACCUGGCGAAGGCGGCGUCCUGGACCAACACUGACACUGAUGAGCGAAAGCCAGGGGAGCAAACGGG